Molecule: non-coding RNA, 45 nt
Organism: Schistosoma haematobium
Lineage: Eukaryota; Metazoa; Platyhelminthes; Trematoda; Strigeidida; Schistosomatidae
Source: Rfam
AUCCAGCUGACGAGUCCCAAAUAGGACGAAACGCGCCACCUGGAU